Molecule: non-coding RNA, 108 nt
Organism: Acanthosepion pharaonis
Lineage: Eukaryota; Metazoa; Mollusca; Cephalopoda; Sepiida; Sepiidae
Source: the annotation of a GenBank genome assembly
GAGGAUAUCACAUUGAAACACCAGUUCACGUAAGAUCUGACGUUAAGUAACGUAAAGCCUGGUCAGUACGUAGAUGGGUGACCGCUUGGGAAUACCUUGUGUUGUAAU